UACGUAGGGUGCGAGCGUUGUCCGGAAUUAUUGGGCGUAAAUAGCUUGUAGGCGGUUUGUCGCGUCUGCUGUGAAAAUCCGGGGCUCAACCCCGGACUUGCAGUGGGUACGGGCAGACUAGAGUGUGGUAGGGGAGACUGGAAUUCCUGGUGUAGCGGUGAAAUGCGCAGAUAUCAGGAGGAACACCGAUGGCGAAGGCAGGUCUCUGGGCCACUACUGACGCUGAGAAGCGAAAGCAUGGGGAGCGAACAGG
RNAcentral lists this ribosomal RNA (253 nucleotides) under uncultured bacterium. RNAcentral describes it as "partial 16S ribosomal RNA". It matches the Rfam family "Bacterial small subunit ribosomal RNA", at positions 524 to 776 of the family's 1533-position model. The record is from RNAcentral.